Molecule: long non-coding RNA, 473 nt
Filed under: Monodelphis domestica (gray short-tailed opossum)
Lineage: Eukaryota; Metazoa; Chordata; Mammalia; Didelphimorphia; Didelphidae
Description: lncRNA (ENSMODG00000041520.1)
Source: RNAcentral
CAUUGAUAGAGAUUGAGAUAACAUGCAAAAAAAUAAAAGGGGGGUCUCAGUACCAAGAGAAACUUGAAGGAAUAAGAAAAUUGGAAUAUUCUAUACCACACAAAGAGGCACAUGGGAGGGGGAGGGGAAGAAUACUGCUAUAAGAAGUACAGGAAGAGAGUACUCAUAGAUAAUACUCAAACAUUAUUCUCAGUGGAAUCAAUUCAGAGAGGGAAGAGCAUCUAGAUCCAUUGGGGUAUAAAUUGUUUUGAAUCUACAAUUCAUAGCUGCUGACAAGCAAUAUCCUCAAAUGAAGUACUCUUGUAACUCUAGUAAUGAGAAGAGGUCAUGCAUACCAAGCCAGCUGGACAGAUAAUUCUCUGGUUCAGCUUGGGGAAGCAGUAGCCAAAGCAAGUCCUUCUGACUGUUGGUAUAUUAUCUUUCCUCUACUUGCAAUAACGGUAAAGAGGAGAAGUCAGAAGAAAGAAGAGUAA